Molecule: non-coding RNA, 246 nt
Organism: Pelobates cultripes (western spadefoot toad)
Lineage: Eukaryota; Metazoa; Chordata; Amphibia; Anura; Pelobatidae
Source: the annotation of a GenBank genome assembly
CUGUAUUUUAGGUCAUAAAUGUAACUUUAUGUAUUUUAAAGUGUUUUACUGUCUUUGUGUCUUUUUGCAACCAUGUGCUUAAUGGAGUCUUGUGUCUGUCCUGGGAGAUAAUUGAAUUACUCUCCAGGAUAGAAGACUCUGAAACUGGUUUGGGCCAGAAAGCCAUGCUUCAUUUAGUCACAAAGGACUUUUUACUAACUUUUGAACCCCUUGUCUGAUUUAUGCCAUUUUUUAAUAUGUUGUUCC